AGCAAACUCCCAGCUGCCCCUUCUUACUGGGCCAUGACUUAACUCUGGAAUGUGUUUUGACUCACUGACUGUAAUAGUGACUAAAAGGAACAUGUGGGAGUCAUCAAAAAUCUGCAGGUGGAUCUGACUGUAAGAAAGAGAAACACUUAAUUGGGUACUUACUAAAUGUUUGUCAAAUGGAUUUGAAUAUUUUGUGAAUUUUAUAUUCACAUAAAGGAUUCAGAAGAAAGCGCAACUGAGAAAUGUCCAAAUAUGGUGAAGACACUUCUUCUAGAGUGAAAGACAUAAAGAAAAUAGGCUAACUCCUCUGGGGAGAGGAGGAAAAACAUAAUUUAUAUCUCUAUGUAUAAUGAACUAAAACUUUAUUGCCAAAACUUUAAAAAUGUUUGUUUAGAUGGAACUCAGCAUCUAAACUUUUCUAAAAACCCAUGAUACGUGAGAGAAACAAAAUCAGUCCUAAAAUUACGGUCUGUAAGCAAGGAGACUUUUUUUCUAGAAUACUAUGAAACAAUUUUUUUAAUGGAUCAUCUGUUCUCAUGAUAUUUCUAUUACUCCUUCCAGAAUGGGUUUACAUAUUAAAUAACAAAGCAGAAGCUACCAUUUCCAGGGAAGAGAAUGCAUCAAAUUAUUUAUGAUUUUAUCAAUCCUGAUUAACUGCACAGCCACAAAAUCAACACCAUCCUUGUCACUCCUACAGGCGCUUGAUGCCUGAGUUCUACAUUUCCUGUUUUAUUCCUGUGCACUCAGCACAUCCAUCCACUUUAGUGAAUUGAUUUCAUUGAAUACUGUUAUGGGUUGAAUUGUGUACCCCUAAAAUUCUAAUCCCCAGUACCUGAGAAUAUGCUUGUAUUUGGAGACAGGGCCCUUAAAGAUAUAAUUCAGUUAAAAUGAGGCCAUUAGGAUGGCCAGUCUGACUAGUUUCCUCAUAAAAAGAAAGCAGUCUGACUGGUCCUCCUUAUCAGAAGAAAUUUGGACCCAUAAAGAGACAGCAGGGGUGCAUGUUCAUAGAGGAAUGAGCAUGUGAAGAGGCAGCAAGAGGGAGGCCAUCUGCAAGCCACGGAGAGAGGCCUGGAAUAGCUUCUUCACUUAUGGCUCUCAGAGAAAACAAACCCUGCAAGCAACUUGAUCUUGACUUCUAACCUCUAAAACUGCAAAACAAAACAAAACAAAACAAAAAAAAGUUUUUUUCUCUUCUCUGGUUUAAGCUACUCAAUCUGUGGCAUUUUGUUACGGCACCCCUAGCAAACCAGUACUCUACAUUUAUCCUUACAGGCAUAAGAUUAUAACUGGGCAUUUAUAUAUCUAUUAAAGUAAGUUUCUUCGUAGCUUUAAAAAUAGCUAGUUGUGUGUCUACAGCCAGACAAGAACUUCUUAAUAACGGUCACUGACUCUGCACCACCCCCAAUGGAUGAAUUAAACAGAACAACUGUCAAAAUAGUUGUGUACUCAUAGUUUUGAAUGCAGAUUUGCCUCACUAUGUUUACUCUCAGUGAGUGGAAAGCUCACAUGUGGUACAAGGUGUGCAGACCUUAGAUCCUGAGACAAGCCACAGGCAAACAUUUUCACAGCUAUUUUAUAAUCCCCGAUCAAAAUGAGAUACAUUCUUGAAAUGCUGAAUUUUUCAGAUAUGUUCCUACCACAAUUCUGCCUGCAUUCCAGUCAAUUUUAUUAACAUCUGACAGAUUUUUAGGUUCUCAGGUGAAACAAAUGCAAGCCCUAUCUGGCCCUUGACAAGCAAGCACAAAUUAAGGCACACAGUCCCAUGGAAGUCCCUGGCAUGAAGACCCAAAUAAAAAAACUGUAAAUGCAAACUAGGAAUGGAAAACACAUGCAGUAAGACAUGUUCUCAAAAUAAAAGACAGUCACUUGAA
RNAcentral lists this long non-coding RNA (1871 nucleotides) under Homo sapiens (human). RNAcentral's name for it is "XIRP2 antisense RNA 1 (XIRP2-AS1)". The record is from RNAcentral. Lineage: Eukaryota; Metazoa; Chordata; Mammalia; Primates; Hominidae.